RNAcentral lists this ribosomal RNA (430 nucleotides) under Pseudomonadota bacterium. Its description in RNAcentral is "Proteobacteria bacterium partial 16S ribosomal RNA". It matches the Rfam family "Bacterial small subunit ribosomal RNA", at positions 355 to 776 of the family's 1533-position model. Lineage: Bacteria; Pseudomonadati; Pseudomonadota. The record is from RNAcentral.
UGGGGAAUAUUGGACAAUGGGGGGAACCCUGAUCCAGCCAUGCCGCGUGUGUGAAGAAGGCCUUAUGGUUGUAAAGCACUUUAAGCGAGGAGGAGGGUACUGGUAUUAAUACUACCAGGUACUGGACGUUACUCGCAGAAUAAGCACCGGCUAACUCUGUGCCAGCAGCCGCGGUAAUACAGAGGGUGCGAGCGUUAAUCGGAUUUACUGGGCGUACAGCGUGCGUAGGCGGCUAAUUGAGUCGGAUGUGAAAUCCCCGCGCUUAACUUGGGAAUUGCAUUCGAUACUGGUUAGCUAGAGUGUGGGAGAGGAUGGUAGAAUUCCAGGUGUAGCGGUGAAAUGCGUAGAGAUCUGGAGGAAUACCGAUGGCGAAGGCAGCCAUCUGGCCUAACACUGACGCUGAGGUACGAAAGCAUGGGGAGCAAACAGG